GGAUGCGAUCAUACCAGCACUAAAGCACCGGAUCCCAUCAGAACUCCGAAGUUAAGCGUGCUUGGGCGAGAGUACUACUAGGAUGGGUGACCUCCUAGGAAGUCCUCGUGUUGCAUUCC
This 119-nucleotide ribosomal RNA is filed under the name Triticum aestivum (bread wheat). The record is from RNAcentral. Lineage: Eukaryota; Viridiplantae; Streptophyta; Magnoliopsida; Poales; Poaceae.